RNAcentral lists this small RNA (2510 nucleotides) under Pongo abelii (Sumatran orangutan). RNAcentral describes it as "processed transcript". Lineage: Eukaryota; Metazoa; Chordata; Mammalia; Primates; Hominidae. The record is from RNAcentral.
AGGCCUCUGAGAAAGAGCUUACUUGUAGCAUUGUCACAUAACAUGGUGUGCUUUGGACUUUGCUGAACCUCAGUCCCCACUUCGUGAGGCAGAUGUAGACUGCUUGACUUUAGGACAAUAUAUGCAGCCAACAAGGCGUCACCUUAAGGUUGAAGAAUAUAUUACUCCCGAAAAAUUCAAAUACUGGGAAAAAGUAGGAAAUGAACUUGGAUUUCAUUAUACUGCAAGUGGCCCUUUGGUGCGUUCUUCAUAUAAGGCAGGUGAAUUUUUCCUGAAAAAUCUAGUGGCUAAAAGAAAAACAAAAGCCCUCUAAAACUUCAACAAGACCUUCAAGACCACAGAAAUUUUUAAAAUUUGAUUCCAGUUAAUAACAGAGGUGGUGCCAGAAUGCCUGGACUGCAGUGGAUGUACCCUACCUCUUUGCUUAAAAAAAAAAAAAAGUCAAUACCCAGGCAUAGUGGCUCAUGCCUGUAAUCCCAGCACUUUAGGAGGCCAAGGCGGGUGGAUCACCUGAGGUCAGGAGUUCGAGACCCUCCUGGCCAACAUGGUGAAACCCUGUCUCCACUAAAAACACAAAAAUUACGCAGGUGUGGUAGUGGGCGCCUGUAAUCCCAGCUACUCGGGAGGCUAAGGCAGGAGAAUCGCUUGAACCUGGGAGGGGGAGGUUGCAGUGAGCCAAGAUCGCUCCAUUGCCCUCCAGCCUGGGUGACAAGAGCAAAACUCCAUCUCAAAUAAAUAAAUAAAAAGGAAAAAAAGUCAAUAAACUGUACAAAUUUAAUUACAGUAAUUCAUUUGGUUUUUAGUGUAUCUUCUUUGUCCCAAUUAAACAGUUGCUUGCUGUGAUGUAAUCUUAAAAUAUCUUUGUAAGAAUUUUCUUUUAACAUAAUUUUAAAAUGCAUUAAAAACAUGGCAUGGUGGCUCACACCUAUAAUCCCAACAUUUUUGGAGACCAAGGCGGGCAGAUCACUUGAAGCCAGGAGUUCGAGACCAGCCUGGGCAACAUGGUGAGAACCUAUCUCUACAAAAAAUUAGCCAGACGUGGUGGCAUGCACCCAUAGUCCCAGCUACUCAGGCUGAGGUGAGAGGAUCACUUGAACCUGGAAAGCAGAGGUUGCAAUGAGCUGAGGUGGUGCCACUGCUCUCCAGCCUGGGCACUACAACUGCUCUCCAGACUCUGUCUCAAAAACCCAAAAACUUCCAGAAGAUUUUCCAAUCCACUGUUAACAUCAUCAUUACAUUUCAUUUAUGAAAAAUAAAAACUUCAUUUAUGUUACUGUGAUGAAACAGUCAACAUAGAUUGAAACUCAUCAGUUUAGCAUUUCAUUCAACUUUAGCAUUCAUUCAAUGUAGAUUGAAACUCAUCAGAUUAGCAUUUGUCCUUAUAAUAUUGGAAUAAUUUAGAAAGGCUUAAGAGUGAAUGUUGGCCAGAUGUGGUGGCUCAUGCCUGUAAUUCCAGCACUCUGAGAGGCCAAGGUGGGCAGAUCACCUGAGAUCGGGAGUUUGAGACCAGCCUGGCCAACCUGGUGAAACUCCAUUGCUAGUAAAAAUAAAAAAAUUAGCUAGGUGUGUUGGCAGGUGCCUGUAAUCCCAGCUACUCGGGAGGCUGAGGCACGAGAAUUACUUGAGCCUGUGAAGCGGAGAUUGCAGUGAGGCGAUAAUUGUGCCACUGCACUCCAGCCUGGGUGACAGAGUGAGACUGUCUCAAGAAAAAAAAAAAAGAAUAAAUGUUAAUUUUUUACAUUGGUGUGACUACUUCAGAACCUGCAAAAUAGUUUUAUGCUGAUCACAUUUGGUCCCUCUGAAAAAACCAAGGCCAUAAUGCUGCCUAAGACAAGGAAAUAGAACCUAGAAAUAUUAACCCUUAUUUGUAUAGUAGCUUGCUAAAUCCACAUGUCCUAUUCCUUUCAUUUCUCACAUUGGUUGUAUUAUAUGAUGGUAAAGACCUGAGAAAGGAAUUUCCUUCCAAAAUACUAAUAACUCAGAUUCAUCUUUUGACUGAAUCCUGCCUUUCUACUUUUUCUGCAUAUCUAAAAGGACACUUUUACGUGGCCAUGUUGUAAAAUAUGUAAAGUGGAUAGCCAAUUCUGUUUUGAAUUCUUAUAAUGAGCCAGUAUUAUAAAAGUAAUGCACGUCCUUGCCAGGUGUGGUGGCUCACGCCUGUAAUCCCAGCACCUUGGGAGGCUGAGGCGGGUGAAUCAGUUGAGCUCAGGAGUUUGAGACUAGCCUGGGCAACACAGUGAGACCCCCAUCUCUACCAAAAAUACAAAAAAUUAGCUGGGCGUGGUGGCGCAUGCCUGUAAUCUCAGCUACUUGGGAGGCUGAGGCAGGAGAAUCACUUGAACCUGACAGGCAGAGGUUGCAGUGAGCCAAGAUCACAUCACUGUAUUCCAGCCUGGGUGACGGAGACUGUGUCUCAAAAAAAUUUUUUUAAAGUAAUGCAUGGGCCAGGCAUGGUGGCUUAACACCUGUAAUCCCAACAUUUUGGGAGGCCAAGGCAGGUGGAUCACCUG